RNAcentral lists this ribosomal RNA (1377 nucleotides) under Pseudomonas fluorescens ABAC62. RNAcentral's name for it is "bacterial LSU rRNA". It matches the Rfam family "Bacterial large subunit ribosomal RNA", at positions 1586 to 2925 of the family's 2925-position model. The record is from RNAcentral. Lineage: Bacteria; Pseudomonadati; Pseudomonadota; Gammaproteobacteria; Pseudomonadales; Pseudomonadaceae.
CGAAGUGGUUGAUGCCAUGCUUCCAAGAAAAGCUUCUAAGCUUCAGGUAACCAGGAACCGUACCCCAAACCGACACAGGUGGUUGGGUAGAGAAUACCAAGGCGCUUGAGAGAACUCGGGUGAAGGAACUAGGCAAAAUGGCACCGUAACUUCGGGAGAAGGUGCGCCGGUGAGGGUGAAGGACUUGCUCCGUAAGCUCAUGCCGGUCGAAGAUACCAGGCCGCUGCGACUGUUUAUUAAAAACACAGCACUCUGCAAACACGAAAGUGGACGUAUAGGGUGUGACGCCUGCCCGGUGCCGGAAGGUUAAUUGAUGGGGUUAGCUAACGCGAAGCUCUUGAUCGAAGCCCCGGUAAACGGCGGCCGUAACUAUAACGGUCCUAAGGUAGCGAAAUUCCUUGUCGGGUAAGUUCCGUCCUGCACGAAUGGCGUAACGAUGGCGGCGCUGGCUCCACCCGAGACUCAGUGAAAUUGAAAUCGCUGUGAAGAUGCAGUGUAUCCGCGGCUAGACGGAAAGACCCCGUGAACCUUUACUAUAGCUUUGCACUGGACUUUGAAUUUGCUUGUGUAGGAUAGGUGGGAGGCUUUGAAGCGUGGACGCCAGUCUGCGUGGAGCCAUCCUUGAAAUACCACCCUGGCAACUUUGAGGUUCUAACUCAGGUCCGUUAUCCGGAUCGAGGACAGUGUAUGGUGGGUAGUUUGACUGGGGCGGUCUCCUCCUAAAGAGUAACGGAGGAGUACGAAGGUGCGCUCAGACCGGUCGGAAAUCGGUCGUAGAGUAUAAAGGCAAAAGCGCGCUUGACUGCGAGACAGACACGUCGAGCAGGUACGAAAGUAGGUCUUAGUGAUCCGGUGGUUCUGUAUGGAAGGGCCAUCGCUCAACGGAUAAAAGGUACUCCGGGGAUAACAGGCUGAUACCGCCCAAGAGUUCAUAUCGACGGCGGUGUUUGGCACCUCGAUGUCGGCUCAUCACAUCCUGGGGCUGAAGCCGGUCCCAAGGGUAUGGCUGUUCGCCAUUUAAAGUGGUACGCGAGCUGGGUUUAGAACGUCGUGAGACAGUUCGGUCCCUAUCUGCCGUGGACGUUUGAGAUUUGAGAGGGGCUGCUCCUAGUACGAGAGGACCGGAGUGGACGAACCUCUGGUGUUCCGGUUGUCACGCCAGUGGCAUUGCCGGGUAGCUAUGUUCGGAAUAGAUAACCGCUGAAAGCAUCUAAGCGGGAAACUAGCCUCAAGAUGAGAUCUCACUGGAACCUUGAGUUCCCUGAAGGGCCGUCGAAGACUACGACGUUGAUAGGUUGGGUGUGUAAGCGCUGUGAGGCGUUGAGCUAACCAAUACUAAUUGCCCGUGAGGCUUGACCAUAUAACACCCAAGCAAUU